UGGGGAAUUUUGCACAAUGGGGGAAACCCUGAUGCAGCGACGCCGCGUGAUUUAGAAGGCCUUCGGGUUGUAAAAAUCUUUUCUAUGGGAAGAAAAUGACAGUACCAUAGGAAUAAGGACUGGCUAAUUACGUGCCAGCAGCCGCGGUAAUACGGAAGGUCCAGGCGUUAUCCGGAUUUAUUGGGUUUAAAGGGAGUGUAGGCGGUUGGUUAAGCGUGUUGUGAAAUGUAGAUGCUCAACAUCUGACUUGCAGCGCGAACUGGCUGACUUGAGUACACACAACGUAGGCGGAAUUCAUGGUGUAGCGGUGAAAUGCUUAGAUAUCAUGAAGAACUCCGAUUGCGAAGGCAGCUUACGGGAGCGCAACUGACGCUGAAGCUCGAAGGUGCGGGUAUCGAACAGG
RNAcentral lists this ribosomal RNA (403 nucleotides) under Verrucomicrobiota bacterium. RNAcentral describes it as "Verrucomicrobia bacterium partial 16S ribosomal RNA". It matches the Rfam family "Bacterial small subunit ribosomal RNA", at positions 355 to 776 of the family's 1533-position model. The record is from RNAcentral. Lineage: Bacteria; Pseudomonadati; Verrucomicrobiota.